UACGGAGGGUGCAAGCGUUGUUCGGAAUCAUUGGGCGUAAAGGGCGUGUAGGCGGUCGGGUAAGUCAGAUGUGAAAGCCCUGGGCUCAACCCAGGAAGUGCAUUUGAAACUACCUGACUUGAGUACGGGAGAGGACGGGGGAAUUCCCGGUGUAGAGGUGAAAUUCGUAGAUAUCGGGAGGAAUACCGGUGGCGAAGGCGCCCGUCUGGACCGAUACUGACGCUGAGACGCGAAAGCGUGGGGAGCAAACAGG
RNAcentral lists this ribosomal RNA (253 nucleotides) under uncultured bacterium. Its description in RNAcentral is "partial 16S ribosomal RNA". It matches the Rfam family "Bacterial small subunit ribosomal RNA", at positions 524 to 776 of the family's 1533-position model. The record is from RNAcentral.